RNAcentral lists this ribosomal RNA (121 nucleotides) under Klebsiella pneumoniae. Its description in RNAcentral is "partial 16S ribosomal RNA". It matches the Rfam family "Bacterial small subunit ribosomal RNA", at positions 1423 to 1533 of the family's 1533-position model. Lineage: Bacteria; Pseudomonadati; Pseudomonadota; Gammaproteobacteria; Enterobacterales; Enterobacteriaceae. The record is from RNAcentral.
GUGGGUUGCAGCUUAACCUUCGGGAGGGCGCUUACCACUUUGUGAUUCAUGACUGGGGUGAAGUCGUAACAAGGUAACCGUAGGGGAACCUGCGGUUGGAUCACCUCCUUACCUUAAAGAA